UUGGAAGUAAAAGUCGUAACAAGGUUUCCGUAGGUGAACCUGCGGAAGGAUCAUUACCGAGUGAGGGCCCUUUGGGUCCAACCUCCCACCCGUGUUUAUUUUACCUUGUUGCUUCGGCGGGCCCGCCUUUACUGGCCGCCGGGGGGCUCACGCCCCCGGGCCCGCGCCCGCCGAAGACACCCCCGAACUCUGUCUGAAGAUUGAAGUCUGAGUGAAAAUAUAAAUUAUUUAAAACUUUCAACAACGGAUCUCUUGGUUCCGGCAUCGAUGAAGAACGCAGCGAAAUGCGAUACGUAAUGUGAAUUGCAAAUUCAGUGAAUCAUCGAGUCUUUGAACGCACAUUGCGCCCCCUGGUAUUCCGGGGGGCAUGCCUGUCCGAGCGUCAUUGCUGCCCUCAAGCCCGGCUUGUGUGUUGGGCCCCGUCCUCCGAUUCCGGGGGACGGGCCCGAAAGGCAGCGGCGGCACCGCGUCCGGUCCUCGAGCGUAUGGGGCUUUGUCACCCGCUCUGUAGGCCCGGCCGGCGCUUGCCGAUCAACCCAAAUUUUUAUCCAGGUUGACCUCGGAUCAGGUAGGGAUACCCGCUGAACUUAAGCAUAUCAAUAAGCCGGAGGA
This 612-nucleotide ribosomal RNA is filed under the name Penicillium sp. BMP3037. RNAcentral describes it as "eukaryotic LSU rRNA". The stretch from base 233 to 385 matches the Rfam family "5.8S ribosomal RNA". RNAcentral also lists the same sequence under 1 other name. Lineage: Eukaryota; Fungi; Ascomycota; Eurotiomycetes; Eurotiales; Aspergillaceae. The record is from RNAcentral.